AUGAAGAAACUUGCCCGUGGUCACACGGUUGUUAGAGGAAGCACCGGAAACCGACCCCCCCCGGCUUGCGUUCUUUCCACCUUGUUGUCUGUUCUGCAGGCUGCCAUUGAGGUUGACCGUCUCCACAAGUGUUCACCGAUGGUCCAUGACGACGAUGGUCACAGGGUAGAAAGGAUGGAAUUCUAUGAAUUUCUUGCUGUUGUAGAUUUGGGUUAUAGUCUUCGCUGGAAGUUACUGAGAGAAAAGCCACCUUUUGCUUCAUCGUUGUGUGUGGGCACCGAGGAGACCUGGCGAAGGGCCGUGUGUGGUAAGUUGUGAUGGAGAGAGAGGUGUGAGUCUGGAGGUUGGAAAACCUGGGUUUUGAUUCUAGCUUUGUUGUUUAUUGUGUGAUGUUGGGUGAAUCCCAUAGACUUUCUUAGACGGUG
Molecule: long non-coding RNA, 425 nt
Filed under: Felis catus (domestic cat)
Lineage: Eukaryota; Metazoa; Chordata; Mammalia; Carnivora; Felidae
Description: lncRNA (ENSFCAG00000044255.2)
Source: RNAcentral